GCCGGGAUAGCUCAGUUGGUAGAGCAACUGAUUCGUAAUCAGUAGGUCGACGGUUCAAGUCCGUUUCCCGGCUCUA
Molecule: transfer RNA, 76 nt
Filed under: Deltaproteobacteria bacterium
Lineage: Bacteria; Pseudomonadati; Myxococcota; Myxococcia
Also listed under: 1 other name
Description: tRNA-Thr
Rfam family: tRNA
About the family: Transfer RNA (tRNA) molecules are approximately 80 nucleotides in length. Their secondary structure includes four short double-helical elements and three loops (D, anti-codon, and T loops).
Source: RNAcentral